GUGGGGAAUCUUCCGCAAUGGACGAAAGUCUGACGGAGCGACGCCGCGUGAGUGAAGAAGGCCUUCGGGUCGUAAAGCUCUGUCAUCAGGGACGAACGGCCGGUGGAGUGGAAAGCCACCGGAUUGACGGUACCUGAGAAGGAAGCCACGGCUAACUACGUGCCAGCAGCCGCGGUAAUACGUAGGUGGCAAGCGUUGUCCGGAAUUAUUGGGCGUAAAGCGCGCGCAGGUGGGAUCUUAAGUCCAUUUUUAAAGUUCGGAGCUCAACUCCGUGAUGGGAUGGAAACUGGUAUUCUUGAGUGUCGGAGAGGAAAGUGGAAUUCCAAGUGUAGCGGUGAAAUGCGUAGAGAUUUGGAAGAACACCAGUGGCGAAGGCGACUUUCUGGACGAUGUCUGACGCUGAGGCGCGAAAGCUAGGGGAGCGAACGGGAUUAGAUACCCGUGUAGUCC
This 450-nucleotide ribosomal RNA is filed under the name uncultured bacterium. Its description in RNAcentral is "partial 16S ribosomal RNA". It matches the Rfam family "Bacterial small subunit ribosomal RNA", at positions 354 to 796 of the family's 1533-position model. The record is from RNAcentral.